UCAAGCAUUGCCAAUACAAAACAUCAUCAGAAACUUAAACAGGAAAACCGGAGGAGGGGAGGAAGGGAAAAAACUACUUAAGUUUCUCAGUUCUCACCACAGGUGCAACCUGAGGAAGCCUAUUCUGUAAAUCACUAGCUUCAUAGUUGCCGUUGAAAUGGCUGUCCUCAUUUCUCAUACCACUGACAAGCCCCUGCCGAACACCAAAAAAGGCAAUAAACCACGAUGCCAUCGUGUUCAUAUUAAUUAGGAUAAAGGAAAAUUAUAUCAUACCAUACUGGUAGUAGAGGUAAAUGAUGAGAACUGCAUAUUAUCGUCCUGAUGAAACAAAAUAGCACAUGUUAGGAUAAGAGUAACCCAUAAACAUUUUCUAAACAUGGUAAAAGAAUUGGUUCUUCAUAAGCCUUGGGAAAUUAAUAUGAUGCUUAUGUACUGCCAUAUAGCUCCAGAAUCCAGUAUAGUUAAACAAUGAACUACGAAAUGACGGAAUUAGGGAGAGGCUGCAAUAUGAACUACUGACCCAUAAUCCAUUCUUAUAUGCACAGUUUCUUCAUGCAUAAAACAACUAUACAUGCAAUAAACAAGACUAACUUUAGAUAGUUUAACAAUCAGUAAGAAAUAAAAAUAAAAAGAAUUAAAAAUGCACCCAGCUGGUCCAAGGCUGAAGAAAAGGCACACAACAUCAUUUAAUAGACAUUCACAAAAGCUAUCCCCAAACAGUAACAGA
RNAcentral lists this long non-coding RNA (727 nucleotides) under Setaria italica (foxtail millet). RNAcentral describes it as "long non-coding RNA (SITA_LNC005691)". The record is from RNAcentral. Lineage: Eukaryota; Viridiplantae; Streptophyta; Magnoliopsida; Poales; Poaceae.